This 9532-nucleotide long non-coding RNA is filed under the name Fragaria vesca (wild strawberry). Its description in RNAcentral is "long non-coding RNA (FVES_LNC002028)". Lineage: Eukaryota; Viridiplantae; Streptophyta; Magnoliopsida; Rosales; Rosaceae. The record is from RNAcentral.
UGUCCACUCACUCUGACAUUAUUAAAUGUUUUCCCCUGGGCCCUUUGUUUUAAAUUGCCCAGUCUGCAGAGUUCGGGUUGGAUCUAGUAGGAGACGAGGCAUAGUCACCCGCAUUUCUGCCAGUUUUCGCCAGUAGGUUACUUGUUCAACCUACUCGUGUUUUCUUGCUUCCGCUUGUGUUUAGUAGCUCUGAAUACUUUAGAAUUUUUGUAUAUUAUGCGACGUUCAGAAGUGAUAAAUUAAGAGUGUAAUUUGAAAUUUUCGAGUUAGGGUUGUCCAUCUGCAAGGGAGAUUUUCUUAAUCUUUUCAGUAAAUUUUCCUUGGAGGUGGUCCCCGCACGACUUACUCUGGGUUUCAGGGUGAAAUUCGGGGUGGGUCGUGUCACAGGGCGGUCCCUUGGCGACCCCUUGGAGUAUCAUGGCGACCCCUUGGUGGCCUUUGGCGAGCUUAGGAGGGUCAAGGCAGCCCUCUUGGCGGGUUAAGGCGGCCUCUAGCGGCCCCUUGGUGGCCCUUAACGGGUCAAGACUACCUCUAGCGGCUCAAGGCAGCAAAAGCGGGUUAAGUCAGGUCAAAGCGGAUGAAGGCGGCCCUAGGCGGGUCAAAGCAGCCCUAGGCGGGUCAAUGGCGGCCUUGGUUGCUCUAGGCGGGGCUUGGAGGGUCAAGGCGACCAUUUGACGGCCCUAGACGGGCCUAGAAGGGUCAUGGCGACCCCUUAGCGAGUCUUGGCGGCCUGUUGGUGGCACUAGGAGGGCCUAGGAGGAUCAAGGCGGCCCCAGGCGGCGCCUUGGUGGCUCUAGAUGGGUCAAGGCAGGUGAACGCGGGUGAAGACGGCCCAAGGCGGGUGAAAGUGGCCCUUAACGAGACAAGGUGUCCCCUUGGCAGCCCUAGACAGGUCAAGGCGGUCUCUUGAUGACCCUAGGAGGGUCAAGGCGGCCUCUUAGCUGCCCUAGGAGGGUCAAGGUGGCCCAUUGGCGGCCCUAGACGGGUCAAAGCGGCCUCUUGGCGGCCCUAAGAGGGUCAAAGCAGGUUAAGGUGGGUCAAGGCGGGUCAAAGCGGCCUCUUGGCAACCCUAGGAGGGUCAAGGCAGCUCAUCGGCAGCCCUAGGAGGGUUAAGGUGGCCCAUUGGUGGCCCUAGACAGGUUGUUACAACCUUAGUGUCGAGGAAGCUUGGGCAGGGUGUGAACCUUGUGCCAUGCCCAAGCGGGGCACGCGCAGGUGUCAAAGACAAUCGCAAGAAUGCAAGACAAGUUAGUGCAAGGAGGCGUGGCAUCGUGCACAACCAAGGUGCAUAGCACUCAUGCACCCUAGGGCCCGACAAGGGUCCAUCAAGGUGUGCAGCCGGGUCCACAACACUCAUUCACCCCAGGGUCCAUCAAGGGUCCAGCAGGGUGCGCGGCAGGGUGUACAACACUUAGGCACCCCAGGGUCCGGCAAGGGUCCAGCAGGGUGCGCGGCAAAGGUGUACAGCAGGGUGCACAACACCUAUGCACCUAAGGGUCCGUAAAGGGUCCAGUAAGGUGCACUACAAGCGCGCAGCAGAUGGGUGUGAUAUCUCUAGCACCCUAGGGUCCGAUAGGGUGCGAGUCUCGGGUGCACAAAGGUGCAUACACUGAUGACAAAGACCAUGUGUUGGGAAUAGACAACACAAUGGCACGGCGUGGGCUGCAUAAGGACGGCACGCAUAAAGGGUCGAAGGUAGGCAAGGUGCGGCAAGCUAGCACCAUGUGCGUGUGUAGUGUGCAUGGGCGUCAAGGUCGGGUGCGCAAGCAUGCGACGACGUGCUUCCUACAUGCAUGGCAUGUGUGACACUUGGGGCAGUAGUUACUAAGUAGUGGGCGAUUAUCCAAGAAGCACUACACAUGGUGGUAACCACGAAGUGGGGAGCAUCAUGCGCGGCGGUUACCAAGUAGUGGAAGUCAUCCACACAAGUAGUGGGUGGUUACUUACACAAGGUGGUUGCCAAAGUAAUGGGUGGUUACUUACAAGGUGGUUGCCAAAGUAGUGGGAGGUUACUUAUGCAAGGAAGUUACCAAUAAGGAUAAGACCAUACAGUUACAAGUAGUGGGCUCACAAAGGGAAGUUGCAUAAUUGCUCUUUGUACUCAUUGUACUCUUGUAAUCCUUUAAUAGAAUUAAAGGUUGGGAGAGGGCCUCCGGUAAACACUUGUGCGUUGGAUUGUGUGUGUGUGAGCUUACUCGUUGCUAAUUAGUUGAAAGUCUUCCGCUGUGUACUAAGCUAUUGAGUGAAAGGGUUGGCUGGUCAAGUAGGGGAGGGCUGCUUGGCGCCAUCACAAGGGUGAAAUUUAGGGAAAACCUAUAACCUUGUGACACAGGUCAAGGCGGCCUCUUGGCGGCCCUAGAGGGUCAAGGCGGGCCAAGAAGGGCCUAGGAGGGUCAAAGCGGGUCAAAGCGAGUCAAGGCGACCCAAGACGAGACAAGGCGGCCCCUUAGCGGCCUAAGACGGGUGAAGGCGGCCCUAGGCGGGUCAAGACGGCUGGUUAGCGCCCCUAGGGGGUCAAGGCGGGCUAAGGCGGGCCAAGGAGGGCCUAGACAGGUCAAUGCGGGCCUAGGCGGCCCUAAACAGGUCAAAGAGGCCUCUUGGCGACCCUAGGAGGGUCAAGGCGUCCCAAGGAAGGUCAAGACGGGCCAAAGAAGGUCAGGGCCGCCACUUAGCGGCCCUAAAUGGGUUAAGGCGGAUCAAGGCGGCCGCUUAGCGGCCCUAGGCAGGUCAAGGCAGCCCUUUGGCGGUGCUAGGCAGCCUCUUAGAGGCCUUAGGUGGGUCAUGGAGGCCCCUUGGCGGGCCUAGGAGGAUCAAGGCGGCCCCUUGGUAGCCCUAGGAGGGUGAAGGCGGCCAUAAGCGGUUCAUGGCAGCCCUAUCGCUGCCCUGGACGGGCCUAGGAGGGGCAAGACGGGUCAAGGCAGCCCCUUGGUGGCCCUAGACGAGUCAAGGCGGCCUCUUGGUGGCCCUAGGAAGGUCAUGGCGGCCCAAAGCUUGUCAAGGCGGGUCAAAGCGGCCCUAAGCAGGUCAAGGCGGUCGCUUGGUGGCCCUAGGCAGGUCAAGGCGGCCCUAUUACGGGUCAAGGUGGCUCCUUGGCGGCCCUAGUUGGGUCUCGGCGGGCCGUAGGGAGGUCAAAGCGGCCCCUUGGCGGGUCAAAGAGGCCCCUUAGUGGCCUAAGACUGGUGAAGGCGGCCCCGACCCCUUAGUGGCCCUACGCGGGUCAAAGCCGCCGGUUAGUGGCCCAAGGCGGGUCAAGGUAGCCCACUAGUGGCCCUAGUUGGGUCAAGAAGGCCUCUUGGCAACCCUAAGAGGGUUAAGGCGUCCCAAGGUGGGCCAAGUCAGGUUAAGGCAGAUCAUGGCGGCCCCUUGGCGGGUUAGGAGGUUUAAGGCGGCUAAAGGCGGGUCAAGGCGGCCCCUUGGUGGCCUUAUAUGGCUCAAGUCGCCCAAGGUGGUUUAAGGCGGCCCAAGGCAAGUUAAGGUGGGGUUAAAGCGGGCCAAAGCGGGUUAAGACGCCCCUAGACAGGUCAUGGCGGCGCUAGGCAGCCUCUUGGUUGCCCUAGACGAGCCUAGGAGGGUCAAGCCAACCCCGUCGCGGCCCUUUUGUGUCCCUAGACGCGAUUCAGCAGCCCUUGGCAGGUUAAGGCGGCCCAAGUUAUGUCUCGACUGGCCUUAGGGAGGUCAAAGCAGCACCUUGGCGGGUUAGGGCGGCCCCUUAACGGUCUAAGACGGAUGAAGGUGGCCCCUUGGUGGUCCUAGAUGAGCCUAAGGGGGUCAAGACGGCCUAAGACGGGUCAAGGUGGGCCAAGGUGGGUUAAAACGGGUGAGGCGGGCCAAGGCGGCCUAAGAUGGGACAAGGCGGCCCUAGGCGUGCCUAGGAGGGUCAUGGCGACCCCUUGGUGAGUCAUGGCGGCCUUUGGUGGCCAUAGGCAAGCCCCUUAGAAGGUGAAGGCGGCCCCUAGCUGGGUGAAGGCGGCCCCUUGGCGACCUUAAACGUGUGAAGGUGACCCCCUUGGUUGCCCUAGACGGGUCAAGGUGGCCCCUUGUGUCACAUCCCGACCCUUAAAUUUUACCUUAUUUACUAGCUUGGUAUUAAUAAGAAUUUUACCGUCUUCGUCAAUGAGUUAUUAGUUUAAUUGGUCCCUAGAGGGAUUUUGGGGCACGUUUAUUUCGGAGGAUUAUUCGUAGGAGAAAAAUAUGACGACGGUAAAAAUGGUAAAUUUUAGCUAGUAAAAGGUAUUUCCAGCCGCCCGUCCGCCGCCGUCUGGCCACUGUUCGCCGCCGCACCGGUCCCAAACAGUCGACCGUCAACCUAGCUUCCUUCCUGGACCGGUGAGAGGCUCCCUAGCGCCGCCGUGAGAGAGAUAUCAAGCUCCCAAAGCCCUCCGUCAUCGGAACUUCCUCCUCUGGCCACCAAUCCGGGCAAGCCUUAUAUAGUUUUGAAGGUCUUCAACCCAGUUGCCUUGCCCUAGAAGGACUCGGUCCAGUUUGCUUCAGGUGAGGAGAACCGGUGAGUGGAAGUCCUAGGGUUUUUUGUAUUGUUUUCGUUCGAUUGGCAUAGUUAGGCUUGGAAUUGGUGUUUGUGCUAGUUAGGAAAGUUGUAGAGGGAGUUGAGAGGAAGAUGCUGUCAAAAUUUGGUAGGCAUUGGAGGUCGCCGGAGUCGACCUCCGCAGGCGGCAACGCCGUCGUUGUUUGGGGGAUUUUCGUGGUUUUAUUCGUGUUAUAAUUAGAGGAGUUUAAUGAAGUGAUUUGUGAAAUUUUUGGAGGAGUUUUAGAUAGGUUUGAGAAUUUUUAAAGUUUGGUAUUUUGGCGGUUAUUUAAGGUAGAAUCCGGCCGUUGGAUUAAAGUCGUAUAAUCUGUAGAGGGUUAGCUGCCGGUAAUUGUGUUGAUGUUUGGCCAUUUCGUUUUUAAGAAUGGAGAAGUUGGGUAAGGAUGAGCGUGGUUACGAGUCAUAUUUAAUUUUGUCUAUUUUGUUUAAAUAUUGAAAUUUGAGUUGGGAAUUUAUUAUUAUAUUUGAAACAGGACGUGAGGAGGCUCGAGCGGAAGAGGCCUCGGAUCGACAUCAGGCUUAGGCCUAAUUUGUGAGUGGACUUUUGUUUUAAAUAAUAUGCAUGCUAUGGUUCAUGGAUGAACAAUUAAUUUUGUUGGAGCAUUUGACGUCAUUUUAAUUUUGACGAUUUUAUUUCUCUUAGAGAGUCACCGAAAAUGAGAUUUUCGGUGAAUAUAAAUAUGUAUUUAUGAGGAGAGUAUAUAUAUAAAUGCUAGCUAACCAUAUGUGUAUGUCCACUUUAAUGGCGUAGCAUAUAGCUGCAUUAUGGUGUGACGUGACCAUUGGACGUGAACGUAGUAACCCUAUAUAAGUGUUUAAUUCUUAUAGGGGGUAUGGACACAUAUUUAUACACCCGUCUGUCCACCUUAAUGGCGUAGUGUAUCACCGCAUUAAGGCAUGACGUGAGCGUUCGACGCGAGCGUAGUAGCCCUAUAUAAUUCCAUAAAAUUAUAUAGGGAGUAUGGAUGUCACACCCCGGACCCGGUGUCGGUGGUUUCCAAACACCUAACGCCGAACUCGAGGUGUGAGCGGGAAAAGUAAAAGAAAAUAGAACAAUUUCAAAUACUUUUAUCGAAAUAAAAGAAAAUAAAACGUUUACAAUAACAAAAACAAAAAAAAGGACAGGCCUUGCGAUCUAUCUCACAUAAAACGUUUACAAUAACAAAAACAAAAAAAAAGACAGGCCUUGCGAUCUAUCUCACUUCUAAUCUUCUGUACUUCUCGCCAUUUAUACACGUAAGCUAACGUCACAGUUAGUCUUCUAGAAACACGUGUCCUCGUACAAACCUAAACAAGACUCAUAGGGGUAAGCUUACGCUCAGUAGGACCUAACCUUUUUAAGUUAUACUUAACUAGGUCGCACAAACAAGUUAUCAAAUAAUCAAACAAUACCUUCAAUAUAUAACGACAAUUUUAUACAUGUAUGCUAAUGAAUGACUUCCUCGAUUAUUGGCUGAUCAGUCCAUACAUCAAAGACAGGUGAGCCUACACGUCCAAUACCGUGUAUUUUACCAACCGGGGGUGACUCAUAUGUCUCGAAUAUAUGAUCUAACAAUCAGUAAUAUCUCACCACCUGUACCUCUUUUGUUAGUCUUCUUGUUAUACUCAUGGUCUCCCGAUCCGCAACCCAAUAAGAUCGUUUUAUCGAUGUCCGCCAUCGACAGGGCAUAUUUUCCCUACAUUUGUGCACGUGUGGGCUAAUCAUAGAUCUCGAGGACAACUCAUGAGGAAACUCAACUACACAAAAUGUAUAUAUUCUAUCAAUCUUUUUCUCAUCUCUCCAUAAUCACCUUUCUCACAAUUCUCACUAAUCUCACAAUGCAUUAUGCAUAUCAAUUGUAUAACAAUAUUCGCAUUAUAUAUCGAACACAUGCUUUUACAGAAAGCAAUAACAUUGAUUACGAAAGUCAACGAUAUCAAUAAUAUCGAAAACAAUAACAAUCAAGAAUUAAUCAAUCAAUGUCACACAAAUCACUCAUUUCAAUUAUAAACUAAUUAUCGUUUUAAAGAAAGGUUCCCCGACAUAAACCCUACCUAGAAUCCAAGCGCUACUUCUUGAAGCUAAAUAAAAUUAGUAACUCAACGACACGCUUUCUGAAAUCAUUAUCCUUCUGCUCUUGAAAUCCAGCUACUCAUAUUCGAUCCUCGCAUCAAAUACUUGUUCUGACAAAACCGGCAAAUUACUUCAAAUCAUUGCCAUCAAAUCCACAAAAAUUACUAAGGACACCCAAAUCCUUAUUUCUAAUUCCUCCCACAUUUUUUUUUUGAUAAAUUCCAAACCAUAUGCCAUAUGAACUCAUUUCGCAUUAUCCCCACCUUUAAAUCUACAUUUGCAGUUAACGUUGUCGGCGUAUCCCAACUAUGCUCCAAACACCGAUCUAAACUUUCCAGAAUUACUCUGGACACCCAACAAACUUGGCAUUCAUAAUAAUUCCUUACUCCAUAUUUCUUCCAACUUCCACAACAGGAACCUAGCCUUUCUAAAACAUCUAAACACCAAACUUCUCCAUUCUGUGCAUCAAGCAUGUACAACAUCAACAUCAUGUCCUGCAAUUUCAUCCAAAACAUAAACCAAACCUAAAACUAUCAACCUCCAUUUUCGUCACCAAACAACACUGCCCCAAAACCCACUUCAUCCAACUUUCAAUCUCCUGCCAUUCAAAUACAUAUCAUAGCACCCCUCCAAAAUCAGUAUACUAUGAAAAACCAGAAACUACAAGAACCACCACCUGCCACCGCCGUACACAGCAGCACUCACGGCGGCCGACGUCUGCCCAAACACCAACUUCUCCAAAACUUAAUCAAACUCGAAUUCAAGCAUAUAAACAGGUAGAGCUCGACAAAUGGACCAACUUUCAUACCUUGAUCGAAACCAAUCGUCGCCGGAAAACACCCAGAAACUCGCCGGAAAACCUAAAAGCUUCUCCUCUUCGAAUCUCUCUCUCCUCAGCUUCCCAUGGAAAUCCAAUAGCACAGCGACGUCGGGGAGGACGAGAGGAAUCUUCAAGUACCAUUCAAGCUCGUCGCCGUCGUCGGAAUCGGAAACCCGAUCGGAGAGGCAGUCACCUUCUCUCCUCCUUCUCUCUCUCUCGCCGGAGCUCCUCUUCGAAAUCCAAGGACAUAGUGAGGUCGGGGACAGCGAGACGAAGCUUUUGCCACCGGUAUUGCACCGGGAGACGGCCGGAAGACGGAGAAAGGAGUUGAGCUCGGUCGCGUCGGUCUGGGCUGAUGUCUGGGUUUUUCUGAUGUUGUCCAAACUAAUCCAACCUUUUUAUGUGUCUUGCGAUCAACAGCCGAGAUCAAACCGACCUAGAAUAUAUUUUUAAUUAAUUUUUGGAUAAUAUCCAACAUCCAAAAACCAUUAAAAAUAACUCCGAGAUAUCCAAACGAUGUUCUGAAAAAUCAUACGAACUCGUUACGACGUCUAGAUUAAUCCUAUGGGCUCGAAAGACAAAAUUUGACAAACUAAAAAUUCUAAAAUUUUUCAAAAGCUACUAAGAAUUGAAAGAAUAAUUGAAAUCGAAAUAAAAAUAACUCAAAAAUAAUUUUCCUUUUAAAAAUAGAAAACUGAAAUUCCAAGAUGUUACAAUGGACGUGUGUAAAUACAUACAUAUAUAUUUUAGAGCUUGAGAAGCUCGAUAUUUAAGAGAUGAAAGUUUUAUCACUUGAGGUAUGCAUUCGAUUUUCCCUUGGAAAUUGAAUUGGGAAAACAUAAAUAUUUUAUUUAUUCUUUAUUCAAAUUUAUUUUUGUCCACUCACUCUAACGUUAUUAAAUGUUUUCCCCUGUGCCAUUCGUUUUAAAAUGCCCAGUUUGUAAAGUUCGGGUUGGCACUAGUAGGAGGCGAGACGUAGUUACCCACUUUUCCACCACUUUUCACCAGUAGAUUAUCUGCUUAACUUACCAGUGUAUUUUCUUGCUUCCGCUAGUAUGCUUCCGCUAGUAUUAGUAGCUCUGAUUACCCUUGAGGAUAAUGUAUAUUAGCUCGGUUCUGUGCUAAGUCUUGGAUUUUAAUUUGGAAUAUUUGAAGGUUGAAGUUUGUUAUUUCCUAAUUGGAUAUUUAUCUGAUGGAUUAGAAGAUGGUUUGUGUUAUAUUGUUGUGGUGGUUGUAUUGUGGGGAGCGGGUGGCUCUAGGGGUUGAGGUUGGAUGUGUCGUUAUAAGAGUGUGGUUUGAAUUUUUCAAGUUAAGGUUGUCCAUUUUCAAGGGAGGUUAUGCCUAAUUUUUCAGUAAAUUUUCCUUGGAGGUGGUCCCCGUAAGACUUACUUCGGGUUUCAUGGUGAAAUUUGGGGUGGGUCUUGACACCUUGGUUGCCCUAGAAGGGUGAAGGCGGCCCUAGGUGGGCUAAGGCGGCCCAUUGGUGGCCCAUUGGUGGCUCUAGCCGAGUUAAGACGGCCUAGGUGGGUUAAGGCGGCCCCUUGGUGGCCCUAGAUGGGUCAAGACGGCCUAUGGGCGGCCCUAACCAUUGAGUAGCAGAAUAUGCAUUAAUCACCUCAUAUUUUUAUUUUGCUAUGGGUUAUCAUCACUUGGGUGUGGCAACUGAGAUUUGCUUGUUAUCUGCAAAUCUGCAAUCCUACUGUUAUUUCUUGCUUUACAUAAGCAUCCCAACCUUAUGAAUGUCUAUCCAUUCACUACCAUUUAUCAGAUAGAGAAUUAUUGCCAUGUUUGUGUGUGUAGUUUCAUACCAUUUCCAUGUUUGUAUCACUUCUAGUUGGAUUGGUCAUUUCGUGGCUCAGUAGCUUCUUGAUACUUUAUUAUUAUAGUGUUAGAAGUCAGGCAAAUCUCAUAGUUCAUUUUCAUGCUAAUAUGUGUUUUUGCUUAUUCUCAUCUUGAACACUAUAAUAGUAAAGUAUCAAGAAACUUGACUAGCUAAUACAAUUUUGGACUAAUUUCAGUUUACCCCCAUCAACUUUAGGUCGAUUAUCCUGUUAGUCAUUCUUCUUUCAAUUUCAUCAAAAACACCCCUCAACUCCCAAUUUUCAUCAGCCAUGCA